RNAcentral lists this ribosomal RNA (1500 nucleotides) under uncultured Pseudomonas sp. RNAcentral's name for it is "bacterial SSU rRNA". It matches the Rfam family "Bacterial small subunit ribosomal RNA". Lineage: Bacteria; Pseudomonadati; Pseudomonadota; Gammaproteobacteria; Pseudomonadales; Pseudomonadaceae. The record is from RNAcentral.
AGAGUUUGAUCCUGGCUCAGAUUGAACGCUGGCGGCAGGCCUAACACAUGCAAGUCGAGCGGAUGAAGGGAGCUUGCUCUCUGAUUCAGCGGCGGACGGGUGAGUAAUGUCUAGGAAUCUGCCUGGUAGUGGGGGACAACGUUUCGAAAGGAACGCUAAUACCGCAUACGUCCUACGGGAGAAAGCAGGGGACCUUCGGGCCUUGCGCUAUCAGAUGAGCCUAGGUCGGAUUAGCUAGUUGGUGAGGUAAUGGCUCACCAAGGCGACGAUCCGUAACUGGUCUGAGAGGAUGAUCAGUCACACUGGAACUGAGACACGGUCCAGACUCCUACGGGAGGCAGCAGUGGGGAAUAUUGGACAAUGGGCGAAAGCCUGAUCCAGCCAUGCCGCGUGUGUGAAGAAGGUCUUCGGAUUGUAAAGCACUUUAAGUUGGGAGGAAGGGUUGUAGAUUAAUACUCUGCAAUUUUGACGUUACCGACAGAAUAAGCACCGGCUAACUCUGUGCCAGCAGCCGCGGUAAUACAGAGGGUGCAAGCGUUAAUCGGAAUUACUGGGCGUAAAGCGCGCGUAGGUGGUUCAGUAAGUUGGAAGUGAAAUCCCCGGGCUCAACCUGGGAACUGCUUUCAAAACUGCUGAGCUAGAGUACGGUAGAGGGUGGUGGAAUUUCCUGUGUAGCGGUGAAAUGCGUAGAUAUAGGAAGGAACACCAGUGGCGAAGGCGACCACCUGGACUGAUACUGACACUGAGGUGCGAAAGCGUGGGGAGCAAACAGGAUUAGAUACCCUGGUAGUCCACGCCGUAAACGAUGUCAACUAGCCGUUGGAAUCCUUGAGAUUUUGGUGGCGCAGCUAACGCAUUAAGUUGACCGCCUGGGGAGUACGGCCGCAAGGUUAAAACUCAAAUGAAUUGACGGGGGCCCGCACAAGCGGUGGAGCAUGUGGUUUAAUUCGAAGCAACGCGAAGAACCUUACCUGGCCUUGACAUGCUGAGAACUUUCCAGAGAUGGAUUGGUGCCUUCGGGAACUCAGACACAGGUGCUGCAUGGCUGUCGUCAGCUCGUGUCGUGAGAUGCUGGGUUAAGUCCCGUAACGAGCGCGACCCUUGUCCUUAGUUACCAGCACGUUAUGGUGGGAACUCUAAGGAGACUGCCGGUGACAAACCGGGGGAAGGUGGGGAUGACGUCAAGUCAUCAUGGCCCUUACGGCCAGGGCUACACACGUGCUACAAUGGUCGGUACAAAGGGUUGCCAAGCCGCGAGGUGGAGCUAAUCCCAUAAAACCGAUCGUAGUCCGGAUCGCAGUCUGCAACUCGACUGCGUGAAGUCGGAAUCGCUAGUAAUCGUGAAUCAGAAUGUCACGGUGAAUACGUUCCCGGGCCUUGUACACACCGCCCGUCACACCAUGGGAGUGGGUUGCACCAGAAGUAGCUAGUCUAACCGCAAGGGGGACGGUUACCACUGUGUGAUUCAUGACUGGGGUGAAGUCGUAACAAGGUACCCUA